UACAGAGGGGGCAAGCGUUGUUCGGAAUUACUGGGCGUAAAGGGCGCGUAGGCGGCCUGCUAAGUCGAACGUGAAAUCCCCGGGCUCAACCCGGGAACUGCGUCCGAUACUGGCAGGCUUGAAUUCGGGAGAGGGAUGCGGAAUUCCAGGUGUAGCGGUGAAAUGCGUAGAUAUCUGGAGGAACACCGGUGGCGAAGGCGGCAUUCUGGACCGACAUUGACGCUGAGGCGCGAAAGCCAGGGGAGCAAACGGG
Molecule: ribosomal RNA, 253 nt
Filed under: uncultured bacterium
Lineage: Bacteria
Description: partial 16S ribosomal RNA
Rfam family: Bacterial small subunit ribosomal RNA
Source: RNAcentral